GACUCAUCCACUCCACUUGAAGCAACUGGAAGGUUGCACCGUAGAAGGUGACAGUCCUGUAAAGGUACGACUGGAUGACUGAGGUGACACCUGAGUAGGUCGUUGUUCGUGAAACGAUGACUGAAUCCACGCGGACCACCGCGUAAGGCUAAAUAUUCCCAGUGACCGAUAGCGCACAGUACCGUGAGGGAACGGUGAAAAGAACCCCGGAAGGGGAGUGAAAGAGAACCUGAAACCGUGGACUUACAAGCAGUC
Molecule: ribosomal RNA, 255 nt
Filed under: Ditylum brightwellii
Lineage: Eukaryota; Bacillariophyta; Thalassiosirophyceae; Lithodesmiales; Lithodesmiaceae
Description: partial Bacterial large subunit ribosomal RNA
Rfam family: Bacterial large subunit ribosomal RNA
Source: RNAcentral